Molecule: long non-coding RNA, 4670 nt
Filed under: Homo sapiens (human)
Lineage: Eukaryota; Metazoa; Chordata; Mammalia; Primates; Hominidae
Description: non-protein coding PCBP1-AS1:305
Source: RNAcentral
AGACAAGGUCUUGCUCUAUUAUCACUGGAGUACAAUGGCGUGAAUGUGGCUCACUGCAGUCUCGACCUUCCUGGCUCAAGGGAUGCUCCCACCUCAGCCUCCCAAAUAGCUGGGACUAUAGACACAUGUCACCACAUCUGGCUAAUUUUUUAUUUUUUGUAGAGAUGAGAUUUCACCAUAUUACCCAGGCUGUUCUUGAACUCCUAGGCUCAAGUGAUUUGUCUGCCUCAGCCUCCCAAAGUGUUAGGAUUACAGGUGUGAGCCACUGCACCCGGCUGCCUUUUCACUCCUAAUUGUAUCCUCUGUUGCACAGAAAUUUUUAAGUUUGAUGUAGUCCCAUAUGUCUCCUUUUUUUUCCCCAUGCUUUUUAUGAUUUCUAGCAUCUUUUUGUGGGCUUAUUGUGCUUGUAUAUCUUCUUUGGAGAAAUGUCUGUUCAAUUCCUUUGCCCUUUUUUGAAUGGGGUUGUUUGGUUUUUCUGUUGUGGAAUAUUUAAAUUUCUCUAUGUAUCCUCAAUGUUAAGCCAUACUAGAGAUAUGCUUUUCAAAUAUUUUCCCCCAUUCUGUGCAUCACCUUUUUUACUCUGCUGAAAGUGCUGUUUGAUGCAAAAAAGUGUUUAAUUUUCAUGAGGUCCAAUAUAUCUAUUUUUUCUUUUGUUGCCUGUGCCUUGGGUGUUAUAUUCAAGAAAUCAUUGACAAAUCCAAUGAUAUGCUCUUCUACACUCUUAAAAAUUAUAGACAACCCCAAAUAACUUUUAUUUAGUGGUUUUAACAAUAUUUACCAUGUCUGAAAUAUGAUAAACAUUAAAAUUAGUAUUUUGGAAAAAUGCCAUAUUAGAAACUGAUGAUUUAAAAGUAACAACAAUGAAUCCAUUACAUGUGAACAUACUGUUUUUUUGUUUGUUUGUUUGUUUGUUUUGAGACGGAGUUUCACUCUUUUGCCCAGGCUGGAGUGCAGUGGUGCGAUUGCAGCUCACUGUAGUCUUCGCCUCCCAGGCUCAAGUGAUUCUCAUGCCUCAGCCUCCUGAGUAGCUGGGAUUACAGGUGCUCACCACCACACCCGGCUAAUUUUUGUAGAGAUGGGGUUUCACCGUAUUGGCCAGGCUGGUCUUGAACUCCAGACUUCAAGUGAUCCACCCACCUUGGCCUCCCAAAGUGCUGGGAUUACGGGCAUGAGCCACUGCACCAGGCCAACAUACUUUUUAUAAAAACAGCUGUCUUCUCUAAAACAACAAAAAAAUGUAGAUAAUAGUAGUAUCAUUUUAUAGUUUUGCAACUCUCUUUAAUGUUUGGCUUAAUAGAAGAUAGUUGGAUUCUCGUAUCUGUUUUUGUAUUCAGUCUGUUGUGUAUGUUGUUUUGAUUGAAGUAGAUGAAGGAAAUCCAGCUACAUACAGAUUUGGAGUUGGAAAAAAUAGUAUUUUAAUAACCUUUUUAGAUCAUGGUGGAUACUCUUCUUUGUUAUGUCAUCAAAAUUAGACAAAUGGCAGUUUCUGAAAAAUUAGUUGUAAUGUGUGUAAAAAAUUAGUUGAAUCCAUAUCAGUGAACUCAUACUUUUCUAUAUUAAACUUCAUUGCUCUAUCUUGCACUUUGAAUGGGUCUUUUAUUCAUGCCUGAUUUUGUAACAUCAUGCAUUCGUCAUUUUGAAAAUGAUGGUUCAGUGAAUUAUUCACAUCUUCUAAAUGUAGGCACAUUUCAGUCUAUAAUAUCAAAAACAUAUUUGUCAGUGUUACCACUGAUUUCAUCAGAAAAGUCUUGAGGUGUUAAGAAGUCUUUAGGUAUCUACCAGCAUGGAUACACAUUUUCCAAAAUUUUAAAUCUUCACUUGACAGCUCAAAUUUUACAGUUGGCAACAAAUACUGUCAGUUGUUUUCUAUGAGGUGACAGGUUCACUUAAUUCAUUUUUGAGAAAAUGUUUGCCAAAUACCCAAGUCUGAAUAAUCAUAGUUUGUUAGUCAUUUUUUUCCUAAUAAAAAUGAUGUUCUAUGAAAAAGCAAGUAGUCAGCUUGUAAUUCAAACAAUCAGGUAAGUGCUUCCAGUACUUAGGUAUUCAGCAGAAGUGCUUUGUGUACAGAGUAUUAAUAAGACAUGUAUUCAAGGGAUAAGUUUUAAUAAAAUUAAUAAUUAUUACUCUAUCAUGGACAUUUUUACAUUAAGUUUGCCUUUCUGUUGAACUGCAAGUACAUGGGGGUGAAGACUGUGACUCCUGGUGCAGUUUGGUGCCUCUUCAUUGACUUAAGGCUCUAGAAGGCACCAAAUACUGUUGCUUUUGCAUCAUCAGUGCAAAUGUCCGCAAAGUGAAUGCUGCAGAAAAACUCUUGGUAUUAUUAUAAAAAUGAUGUUGACCUUGGCCGGGCGCGGUGGCUCACGCCUGUAAUCCCAGCACUUUGGGAGGCCGAGGUGGGCGGAUCAUGAGGUUGGGAGAUUGAGACCAUUCUGGCGAACACGGUAAAACCCUGUCUCUACUAAAAAUACAAAAAAUUAGCCGGGCGUGGUGGCGGGUGCCUGUAGUCCCAGCUACUCGGGAGGCUGAGGCAGGAGCAUGGCAUGAACCCGGGAGGCGGAGCUUGCAGUGAGCCGAGAUUGCACUACUGCACUCCACCCUGGGCCACAGAGCGAGACUCAUCUCAAAAAAAAAAAAAAAUGAUGUUGAUCUCUUGGAUCCCCCGGGAAGGGUCUUGGGGACCCAGGAGUCCAGGGAUCAUAAUUUGAGAGCCAUGGCCUAUACGACCAUGGGUACUAAUAGCACAUGCCUCCAGCACCCUCCAUCAGCCUCCCUCGGCCUCAUUUUCCUCAGUUGUAAAGGGAGGCCUGGGCAGGCUCUGUUUCUUCACACUGUUGGACCCUGUUUGCUAGCCCCCGAAGCUGCUUCUCCCUUAGCGGUGAUGCUGCUUUCAGCUCCUGCUUUUCCUCCCUCUCUCAUGCCUCCCUUUCUCUCCGUGGCUCCUCUUCCCCUCACUCUUUACAGGUUGGCAUUCUUCUUGUUUCGUCUCCUCCUCCUUUCCCUGGAUGAUCUUAUUUCCUCCCUGGUCUUUAACCAUCACCUGCAGGCUGACAGCUCCCAAAUCUCUAUCUUCAAUCCAGAUGUCUGUCCCGGGCUCCAGUUUUGUGGUUCCACCUGAGACCUUUCCACCUAUAUGCUUUACAGGCAAGUCAAAGUCAGCAUGUCUAAACUGGUUUCUUCGUCUUCCCCUACACAUUGCUUCCUCUUCCAGAAUAGACAGUCUUGGUUAAUCCAUCAUCUGCUCAAAUGCUUAAGCCAGAAUCCCAGGAGUCCUCCUCCCCUUAUCUGGCUCCCUCCCUUCCCUCAUCUGCUCACCUGGCCUAUCAGUUCUGCCUCCUAAACAUUUUCCCAAUCUCUCCCUGCUCUCCAGCCCCACCACCACUGCCUCAGCUCAGGCGCUCAUCCCUUCUCACCUAAACGAUUGCAAGGGUCUUCUCCCUGGCCCCCUGCCCCCUGUUUUCAACCUGUACUCUACAGUUCUGGUUGGAAACCACAAGAGUUAUCUUCUCACACUUUUUUUUUUUAACUUUUAAUUUAGGUUCAGGGGUACAUGUGCAAGUUUGUUAUAUAGUUAAACUCGUGUCACAGGGGUUUGUUGUACAGAUUAUUUCAUCACUCAGGUACUAAGCCUAGUACCCAAGAGUUAUUUUUUUUGCUCCUUUCCCUUUUCCCACACCCCCCACCCUCCACCCUCAAGGAGGUCCCAGUGUGUAUUGCUCCCCUCUGUGUUCAUGAGUUCUCAUCAUUUAGCUCCCACUUGUAAGUGAGAACAUGUGGUAGUUGGUUUUCUGUUCCUGCAUUAGUUUGCUAAGGAUAAUGUGUUUUUCAUUAAGUAAAUACAUAUCGAGUACUUACCAUACCAGGCUCUGUGCAGGCUGUGGGAAUACAACAUAGGACAUAACAGAUACUGUCCUGACCUCCAGCACUCACAGCAUAUGAAGGAGGAGAGAAAAGGACAGGGCACAGGUCAUUAGGACCCAGUGCAGUGGGGAAAGAUGGCAGAGGUGCUUGGGAACCCCUAGAAGUUUUGACUGAGGGCUGAGUCUGAGGGUGUUCAGGGAGCACUUCCUGGAGGAAGCAGCUCUCAUGUUCAGACUGCAGCCUGGGUGGGAGUUAACUAAAAGAGAUGGGAGUGUUGUGGUGAAAAACGUUACUGGAAAGUUUGAUCAUUUAAUUUCCCUGUUAAAUACUUCUCUUGUGAGCUUCACCACUGCCUGCAGGAUCAAGUCCAAAUUCCUUAUCAUGAAACACAACCUUUGUGGCCUCGUUGUCUGCCACUCCCCUGUAUUCAUUGUCAUCAGCUUGAACUGCUUUCAGUUCCCCCCAACGCUGCUUGCUCACUCUCUCAGCUCCAGGCCUUUGCACAUGCAGUUCCUUGUGCCCUCCACCCUUGCCACGCAAAUCCCUACUGCCUAUCAGCCAACUAGACAGAUGUGGCCUGCAUUGUCCCCCUGGAGGCAAAGGAUGUGUGGGUAUUUAUUUAUUUAAGAUAGUAAGUUAUGGCCAGGUGUGGUGGCUCACGCCUGUAAUCCCAGCACUUUGGGAGGCCGAGGCGGGUGGAUCACCUGAAGCCAGGAGUUUGAGACCAGCCUGGCCAACAUGGUAAACCCUGCCUCCACUAAAAAAUACAAAAAUUAGCUGGGCAUGGUGGUGCAUGCCUGUAAUCCCAGCUA